GACAGGUUAAACAAUAAAAAUUAAUGAAUAAAAGUUACAAAUACCCCCUCCCCAUUAUAUACACCCCAUAAUCAAGUGAGAGUUCUCUCAUAUGUGUCUUCAAGCUGCUCCCGGUUAAAAUCCGAUCACUUCCUGGUUCCGGGUGUAUGACGUCAUCACGUUGCGUUCCGGACGUCGGACGUGCGUUCCACUUGCAUUCCAUUUGCGUUCCACAGCCAUUUUCUAUGGGUGCUGAAUUUCUUUAAGCUCCACAUCCGGUUCAUCAUAUUAAGAUUGUAUGAAUUUGGUAUAUUGUAUGUGGUGAAGGCGUGGGAGGGAAAAUAGAAACAUAUAAAAAAUUAUUUGAACACAUUUCCUCUUUAUGUUAAUUCUAAAUGCAUUCUCCAUUUGUAUCACAAAUAUAUGCCAAAAGGCAAUAGAGUCUCUGCAAGCAAC
Molecule: non-coding RNA, 435 nt
Organism: Pelobates cultripes (western spadefoot toad)
Lineage: Eukaryota; Metazoa; Chordata; Amphibia; Anura; Pelobatidae
Source: the annotation of a GenBank genome assembly